Molecule: ribosomal RNA, 681 nt
Filed under: Geotrichum candidum
Lineage: Eukaryota; Fungi; Ascomycota; Dipodascomycetes; Dipodascales; Dipodascaceae
Description: eukaryotic LSU rRNA
Rfam family: Eukaryotic large subunit ribosomal RNA (bases 354-681)
Source: RNAcentral
GGGGGUCAUUUAGAGGAAGUAAAAGUCGUAACAAGGUUUCCGUAGGUGAACCUGCGGAAGGAUCAUUAUGAAUUAUAAAUAUUUGUGAAUUUACCACAGCAAACAAAAAUCAUACAAUCAAAACAAAAAUAAUUAAAACUUUUAACAAUGGAUCUCUUGGUUCUCGUAUCGAUGAAGAACGCAGCGAAACGCGAUAUUUCUUGUGAAUUGCAGAAGUGAAUCAUCAGUUUUUGAACGCACAUUGCACUUUGGGGUAUCCCCCAAAGUAUACUUGUUUGAGCGCUGUUUCUCUCUUGGAAUUGCUUUGCUCUUCUAAAAUUUCGAAUCAAAUUCGUUUGAAAAACAACAUUAUUCAACCUCAGAUCAAGUAGGAUUACCCGCUGAACUUAAGCAUAUCAAUAAGCGGAGGAAAAGAAACCAACAGGGAUUGCCUUAGUAACGGCGAGUAAAGCGGCAAAAGCUCAAAUUUGAAAUCGGCCACCAGGUCGAGUUGUAAUUUGUAGAUUGUAUCUUGAGAGCGGAUUAAAGUCUGUUGGUACACAGCGCCUUUGAGCGUGACAGCCCCGUAAAAUCUAUUCUCUUUGUAAAAUACUUUCGAAGAGUCGAGUUGUUUGGGAAUGCAGCUCUAAGUGGAGGUAAAUUCCUUCUAAAGCUAAAUAUUGACGAGACGCGGAGAGAGGA